This 22-nucleotide microRNA is filed under the name Echinops telfairi (small Madagascar hedgehog). Its description in RNAcentral is "Ete-Mir-350_5p (mature (co-guide))". The record is from RNAcentral. Lineage: Eukaryota; Metazoa; Chordata; Mammalia; Afrosoricida; Tenrecidae.
GAAGUGCACGCGCUUUGGGACA